GAGGGUAUAGCUCAGUGGUAGAGUGUGUGCCUAGCAUGCAUGAGGUCGUGGGUUCGAUCCCCGUACCUACA
RNAcentral lists this transfer RNA (71 nucleotides) under Camelus bactrianus (Bactrian camel). It matches the Rfam family "tRNA". From Rfam's summary of the family: Transfer RNA (tRNA) molecules are approximately 80 nucleotides in length. Their secondary structure includes four short double-helical elements and three loops (D, anti-codon, and T loops). Further hydrogen bonds mediate the characteristic L-shaped molecular structure. tRNAs have two regions of fundamental functional importance: the anti-codon, which is responsible for specific mRNA codon recognition, and the 3' end, to which the tRNAs corresponding amino acid is attached (by aminoacyl-tRNA synthetases). tRNAs cope with the degeneracy of the genetic code in two manners: having more than one tRNA (with a specific anti-codon) for a particular amino acid; and 'wobble' base-pairing, i.e. permitting non-standard base-pairing at the 3rd anti-codon position. RNAcentral also lists the same sequence under 1 other name. Lineage: Eukaryota; Metazoa; Chordata; Mammalia; Artiodactyla; Camelidae. The record is from Rfam by way of RNAcentral.